AGGAUGAACGCUGGCGGCGUGCCUAAUACAUGCAAGUCGAGCGGUAAGGCUCCUCCAGUUUAUUUGAUAACAACCGACCUACAGGCUAGUAGGAAGGAUCGAAUAAAGUGGUGGAGUACACGAGCGGCGGACGGCUGAGUAACGCGUAGGAACGUACCCCAAAGUGAGGGAUAACUGCUCGAAAGAGUAGCUAAUACCGCAUGUGGUCUUCGGAUUAAAGCUUCGGCGCUUUGGGAGCGGCCUGCGUAUGAUUAGAUUGUUGGUGAGGUAAUGGCUCACCAAGUCCACGAUCAUUAGCUGGUCUGAGAGGAUGAUCAGCCAGACUGGAACUGAGAACGGUCCAGACUCCUAGGGAGGCAGCAGUAGGAAUUUCCACAAUGGACGAAAGUCUGAUGGAGCAACGCCGCGUGCAGGAUGAAGGCUCUAGGUCGUAAACUGUCUUUAUAUGUGACGAAUAUGACGGUAGCAUAUGAAUAAG
Molecule: ribosomal RNA, 478 nt
Filed under: uncultured soil bacterium
Lineage: Bacteria
Description: bacterial SSU rRNA
Rfam family: Bacterial small subunit ribosomal RNA
Source: RNAcentral